Molecule: RNA transcript, 2729 nt
Organism: Papaver somniferum (opium poppy)
Lineage: Eukaryota; Viridiplantae; Streptophyta; Magnoliopsida; Ranunculales; Papaveraceae
Exons: 10
Source: RefSeq, a predicted model, not a curated record
AUUGAAAAUGCUAAUUUUUUUCUCUUUUCCUUCCCUUCCCAAACAAAGUUAAAUAGCAGUAGAGAGAGAACCAGGAGUUAACGAGGAUAAAAUUCUCGUGAGAUAUUUUGGAAGCAAGUUAGGGAAAGUUCGUUAAAGGAAAUUUUGGAUGCAAAUUAGGGAAAGUUUGUUAGAGGAAAAGGGGAAUUAGUUAGAUUCUUGGGCGAAAAUUUCUGAAAUAAGAUAUCGAAGAACAAAACUCCCAAACUUUUUUUCAACUAAUCCUAAAAACCUUUGAGCGGGAUGAAAAGAAAAUUGAAAAUCUUUUAGGCCGGAUUGUUCCCGCUUUGUGUGAAUUUGUUCGACUAUAUAAAGAUCCCUAACAUCAUGAAGAGUUGCAUCCAAUUUCAUCUACAUCUUACCAAGGGAACUCCUCUCAUUUGAAUUGUGGUGUUUUACUGGUAUAUUUCUUCUGAAUAUUAAUCUUAUAUGGCUCCAGACGCCCGCCUAUUCUAUGAGGAUGCAGCUUUACGUCGAAAAUAUGCUAGAUUAAGAAUAAACUUUAUGAUUUAAUGAAGAAGCAAGGAGCUAAGGCACAGAAGCAAGGAGCUAAGGUACAGAAGCAAGGAGCUAAAGCGCCCUCAGAUGCACUUGUGAAUCCCAUGUACACACGACAGGGAGGAAAUCCAAGGAGUGUUCAACAGUAUCAAUUUAUUGGAGACAAAAUCAGGGAAAGACAAGAACACCAAAUGAAUGACCUUAGCAGUCGCUUGCACGCAGCUCAGUCAACAGUGCAUGACAGAAGUGAAGUUGGAAGAACAGGUCGGGUGCUACCAAGCCAUGCACCAAUUGAGUCACCGGUGCAUGGGGGAAGGGGAGGUGGAAGAACACGUCCUGUGCUGCCAAGUCUUUCACCAAUUGAGUCACAUGUGCAUGAGGAAAGGGAAGGUGGAAUAUCAUGUGGGGUGCAGCCAAUCGGAUCACCUCUGAACAAUGAUUUUCUGAUAACUCGUAGGAGAUCCCCUAGAGGAAACCGCACAGGAAUACACAGAAAUCUUGAGAAGGAAUACAAUGGUCUACAUAGCCCUAUGAGAACUCAAGGUCGCCAUUCUGUACCACCUCCCACAGAGAAUGAAAUACAACAACGUUCAAAUCUAUUGCAUAAUAAUCGAACACAAGCAUGUCUUCAGCCAUCUCAUCGAUCAACACAGAAAGCUAUUCAAAGUUCAGCAUCUCAUCAAUUACAGUAUAAUGCUCUUCGAAGUUCAGCUUCGCAGCAAUCUCACCGAUCACAGCAACGAAACAGUUUACGUGAUUCUCCAGCUGAAAACCAUAAUUCUUCGCAACCCAACCGAUCGCGAUCAGCGUCUAAUUCUCCUGUAGCAAGUAAUGAAGAAGUUGACAAUUCACUGCAAGAAGGUCCGCAAAAACGUACCACAAGAAAGAAAACGACUAAUCUUGCGGUUGCCAAGAAGAAGGAGAAAGUAAACGUGCCAGUUUUCAAUGAAAAAUUUUGUGGUUAUUAUAAACAUGAGUAUAUAAACUCUAUUGGGACGUGGGUAAGGCAAAGGGACAAUUGCCCACUAAUAUAUGAUAAAUUUGAUAACAUGCCUGAGCAGAAAAUUGCCCGAGUGAUCCAGAAUGUCCGGGACCACUUUAUCCUCGUUCCUGAUGAUGAUGGGGCUGUGAAAGCGAUCAAAGACAUGAUGAGGGAUGCCUAUAAGGCAUACAGGCACAAACUUCAUCUAAAGUACAAAGCAGCAGGGGGUGAUGGGUUUGCUGCAUCAGAUGGCCACCUGAAGGCUUUGGCACACCCUCCCGAAAAUUGCCUCAACAAACAUGAUUGGGCUCACAUGUGUAAUCACUUCACCACCGAUGAGUUCAAGAAAAAUUCUGAAAGAGGGCGUCGUGCUGCGGCUGCGAAGCAAGAAAACAGUAUCAACCACAGCAAUGGCAACAAAAGUUUUACUAGUACCGAAUACGAUUUUCUGCAAGCCGGACUGCCUUGUGAUCCAGUGACUUUCUUCUGAAGAACCCAUGACCCUGAGAAGAAAAUCAACGCCAAAUGCAAAGAAAUGAGUGAAAAAAUGAAGGCCAUGAAGGAGGCCGCAGAUCGAGGAGAAACUGAUGACACUCCAGAAGAGAUAUUUAACAAAGUUCGUAAUGCUGGAUGUUCGGGUAAACGGCGUCGCAAGGCUCACCCAACUAACUAUAGUUUAUACCAGAAGAAAGAAGAAGUGGCCGAAUUGAAAGUAAGAAUAGCGUCCUUGGAACAGGAAAACAAAAGGCUUAAGAAAGAAACGGGUCCGAAAGCGACAAAGAAGUUGUUGAAUGAAUAUCUUUCUAAAGUUGGCAUGCCAUUGAUGGAAUUAUCAUCUGAAGAUGAUGUGGAAGAAGAUGAUGAUGAUGAUGAUGAUGAUGAAGAUGCCGAUAUGCACGAGAGUCAAAUUCAUGAACAUCGAGAUGCCAUUGAAGGUAGUGAUAGGGAAGCUGAAGAGGAGGAUGAGGCUUUUGGAGAUGGUCAAGAAGAAGAUGAUGAGGAGAAUCGAGAUAAGGAGAUUGAAGAGGAUGACGAAGAAGAAUAAACUGAGGUUUAGAUUCAUUUAUUAUUUGUUAUUUAAAAUCUCGUUUUAGAACUUUCUCUAUUUUUUGGUCUUGUAGUCCAGAUAUCACGAGGGAUUCUUGAUUUUUUUGUUUGGAAACUUUUUUGUUUUAAUGAAUGCAUUGAAUAAAAAUUUAUAUUUGGUAUA